GCUUAGCUCCCUGAAGUCACGCGGCGGACGGGUGAGUAACACGUGGGCAACCUGCCUGUAAGACUGGGAUAACUCCGGGAAACCGGGGCUAAUACCGGAUAAUUCUUUCCCUCACAUGAGGGAAAGCUGAAAGAUGGUUUCGGCUAUCACUUACAGAUGGGCCCGCGGCGCAUUAGCUAGUUGGUGAGGUAACGGCUCACCAAGGCGACGAUGCGUAGCCCACCUGAGAGGGUGAUCGGCCACACUGGGACUGAGACACGGCCCAGACUCCUACGGGAGGCAGCAGUAGGGAAUCUUCCGCAAUGGACGAAAGUCUGACGGAGCAACGCCGCGUGAGUGAUGAAGGUUUUCGGAUCGUAAAACUCUGUUGUUAGGGAAGAACAAGUACCGGAGUAACUGCCGGUACCUUGACGGUACCUAACCAGAAAGCCACGGCUAACUACGUGCCAGCAGCCGCGGUAAUACGUAGGUGGCAAGCGUUGUCCGGAAUUAUUGGGCGUAAAGCGCGCGCAGGCGGUUCCUUAAGUCUGAUGUGAAAGCCCCUGGCUCAACUGGGGAGGGUCAUUGGAAACUGGGGAACUUGAGUGCAGAAGAGAAGAGUGGAAUUCCACGUGUAGCGGUGAAAUGCGUAGAGAUGUGGAGGAACAUCAGUGGCGAAGGCGACUCUUUGGUCUGUAACUGACGCUGAGGCGCGAAAGCGUGGGGAGCAAACAGGAUUAGAUACUCCUGGUAGUCCACGCCUGUAAACGAUGAGUGCUAAGUGUUAGAGGGUUUCUCGCUCCUUUAGUGCUGCAGCAAACGCAUUAAGCACUCCGCCUGGGGAGUACGGGCUGCAAGGCUGAAACUCAAGGAAUUGACGGGGGCCCGCACAAGCGGUGGAGCAUGUGGUUUAAUUCGAAGCAACGCGAAGAACCUUACUAGGUCUUGACAUCUCCUGACACCCUAGAGAUAGGGCGUUCUCCUUCGGGGGACAGGAUGACAGUGGUGCAUGGUGUCGUCAGCUCGUGUCGUGAGAUGUGGGUAGUCUCGCACGAGCGCACUCUUGAUCUAGUGCCAGCAUUCAGUGGCACUCUAAGUGACUGCCGUGACGACCGGAGAAGGUGGGGGAUGACGUCGAUCAUCAUGCUCUUAUGACCUGGCUACCCUCGUGCUACAUGGAUGGUACAAGGCUGCGAAACCUGCAGUAGCGAUUCUAUAAACACUUUCUCGAUCCGAUUGCAGGUGGCAACUGCCUG
This 1235-nucleotide ribosomal RNA is filed under the name Cytobacillus oceanisediminis. RNAcentral describes it as "bacterial SSU rRNA". It matches the Rfam family "Bacterial small subunit ribosomal RNA", at positions 73 to 1318 of the family's 1533-position model. The record is from RNAcentral. Lineage: Bacteria; Bacillati; Bacillota; Bacilli; Caryophanales; Bacillaceae.